GGAUGUGAAGGUGAUCUGGCUGUGACACCUGUCACCCCAUUGAUCACUAGGGUGGAUUCCAGUGAUCUGGCUGGCUAGGCAGGUGUUCCUUUCCUCCCUUACUGCUGCAUGUUUUUCCCUCCCGAAGCUGCCCACUGGCUGGAAGAGGACAAAGAAACAAUAAAGCUACUUAAUACAUCCUUCACUUCACCUAACUACCAUUUUGUUGUUAUUAUUG
This 217-nucleotide small RNA is filed under the name Vulpes vulpes (red fox). Its description in RNAcentral is "7SK RNA (ENSVVUG00000024761.1)". The stretch from base 1 to 165 matches the Rfam family "7SK RNA". Rfam says of the family: 7SK was discovered as an abundant small nuclear RNA in the mid-70s but a possible function has only recently been suggested. The record is from RNAcentral. Lineage: Eukaryota; Metazoa; Chordata; Mammalia; Carnivora; Canidae.